This 320-nucleotide ribosomal RNA is filed under the name Saccocirrus sp. France. RNAcentral's name for it is "partial 16S ribosomal RNA". It matches the Rfam family "Bacterial large subunit ribosomal RNA", at positions 1983 to 2523 of the family's 2925-position model. The record is from RNAcentral. Lineage: Eukaryota; Metazoa; Annelida; Polychaeta; Saccocirridae.
UGGGCUUGUAUGAAUGGACUAACGAGAGUAAAGCUGUCUCUUUAAGAUAAAUCGAAAUUAACUUGCAGGUGCAGAGGCCUGUAUAAAAAUGAAAGACAAAAAGACCCUAUCGAGCUUAAACUAAAAACUAAAUUAUAUUUCUAUAUCCAAACCCUAGAGAAAAGUUUUUGUUGGGGCGACACGAGAGCAAAAAAAGCCUCUCUAUCCUAUAAAGGUUUCACGCCAAUAAAUGACCCAACCAAUUGAUCAAAAGACAAAGCUACCGUAGGGAUAACAGGCUAAUCUUUUCUAAGAGCCCAUAUUGACGAAAAGGAUUGGCA